RNAcentral lists this transfer RNA (76 nucleotides) under Cytophagales bacterium. RNAcentral's name for it is "tRNA-OTHER". It matches the Rfam family "tRNA". From Rfam's summary of the family: Transfer RNA (tRNA) molecules are approximately 80 nucleotides in length. The record is from RNAcentral. Lineage: Bacteria; Pseudomonadati; Bacteroidota; Cytophagia; Cytophagales.
GCGGGGUUAGCUCAAGUGGUAGAGCGUCAGCUUCCAAGCUGAAACGAUGGGAAAAUCGAAAACCCACUCCGCUCCA